UGGCUCAGCAUGAACGCUAGCGACAGGCCUAACACAUGCAAGUCGAGGGGCAUCGGGGCGAGGAGCAAUCCUUGCCGCCGGCGACCGGCGCACGGGUGAGUAACGCGUAUGCGACCUGCCCGUUGCAGGGGGAUAAUCGGGAGAAAUCCCGUCUAAUACCGCGUAACGCCGCGGGGCUGCAUGGCCCUGCGGCCAAAGGGAGCGAUUCCGGCAACGGAUGGCAUGCGUGACAUUAGCUAGUUGGCGGGGCAACGGCCCACCAAGGCGACGAUGUCUAGGGGUUCUGAGAGGAAGGUCCCCCACACUGGUACUGAGACACGGACCAGACUCCUACGGGAGGCAGCAGUGAGGAAUAUUGGUCAAUGGGCGCGAGCCUGAACCAGCCAAGUCGCGUGAGGGAUGACGGCCCUACGGGUUGUAAACCUCUUUUGUCGGGGAGCAAAUUCCGCCACGUGUGGCGGAGUCGAGAGUACCCGAAGAAAAAGCAUCGGCUAACUCCGUGCCAGCAGCCGCGGUAAUACGGAGGAUGCGAGCGUUAUCCGGAUUUAUUGGGUUUAAAGGGUGCGUAGGCGGACUGUCAAGUCAGCGGUAAAAUACGGGGGCUCAACCUCCGCCCGCCGUUGAAACUGACGGUCUUGAGUGGGCGAGAAGUAUGCGGAAUGCGUGGUGUAGCGGUGAAAUGCAUAGAUAUCACGCAGAACUCCGAUUGCGAAGGCAGCAUACCGGCGCCCAACUGACGCUGAAGCACGAAAGCGUGGGUAUCGAACAGGAUUAGAUACCCUGGUAGUCCACGCAGUAAACGAUGAAUACUAGCUGUCCGGGGCGAAUGAGCCCUGGGUGGCACAGCGAAAGCGUUAAGUAUUCCACCUGGGGAGUACGCCGGCAACGGUGAAACUCAAAGGAAUUGACGGGGGCCCGCACAAGCGGAGGAACAUGUGGUUUAAUUCGAUGAUACGCGAGGAACCUUACCCGGGCUCAAACGACACAGGAACGUACCUGAAAGGGUUCGGCUCUACGGAGCCUGUGUCGAGGUGCUGCAUGGUUGUCGUCAGCUCGUGCCGUGAGGUGUCGGCUUAAGUGCCAUAACGAGCGCAACCCCCAUCGACAGUUGCUAACAGGUUAGGCUGAGGACUCUGUCGAGACUGCCGGCGCAAGCUGCGAGGAAGGCGGGGAUGACGUCAAAUCAGCACGGCCCUUACGUCCGGGGCGACACACGUGUUACAAUGGCAGGUACAGCGGGAAGCCACCUGGCGACAGGGAGCGGAACCCGAAAGCCUGUCUCAGUUCGGAUUGGAGUCUGCAACCCGACUCCAUGAAGCUGGAUUCGCUAGUAAUCGCGCAUCAGCCACGGCGCGGUGAAUACGUUCCCGGGCCUUGUACACACCGCCCGUCAAGCCAUGGAAGCCGGGGGUGCCUGAAGUGCGCUGCCGCGAGGAGCGCCCUAGGGUAAAACCGGUGACUGGGGCUAAGUCGUAACAAGGUA
This 1483-nucleotide ribosomal RNA is filed under the name uncultured bacterium. RNAcentral's name for it is "16S ribosomal RNA". It matches the Rfam family "Bacterial small subunit ribosomal RNA". The record is from RNAcentral.